This 437-nucleotide ribosomal RNA is filed under the name uncultured bacterium. RNAcentral's name for it is "partial 16S ribosomal RNA". It matches the Rfam family "Bacterial small subunit ribosomal RNA", at positions 29 to 507 of the family's 1533-position model. The record is from RNAcentral.
AGCGAACGCUGGCGGCAGGCUUAACACAUGCAAGUCGAGCGGGCAUCCUUGUGGUGUCCGCGGCAGACGGGUGAGUAACGCGUGGGGACGUGCCCUUCGGUUCGGAAUAACUCAGGGAAACUUGAGCUAAUACCGGAUACGUGCGAGAGCAGAAAGGUUUAUCUGCCGAAGGAUCGGCCCGCGUCUGAUUAGCUAGUUGGUGAGGUUAUGGCUCACCAAGGCGACGAUCAGUAGCUGGUCUGAGAGGAUGAUCAGCCACACUGGGACUGAGACACGGCCCAGACUCCUACGGGAGGCAGCAGUGGGGAAUAUUGGACAAUGGGGGCAACCCUGAUCCAGCCAUGCCGCGUGAGUGAUGACGGCCUUAGGGUUGUAAAGCUCUUUUCUCCGGGACGAUAAUGACGGUACCGGAGGAAUAAGCCCCGGCUAACUUCGUG